AGAGUUUGAUCAUGGCUCAGAUUGAACGCUGGCGGCAGGCCUAACACAUGCAAGUCGAACGGUAACAGGAAGCAGCUUGCUGCUUCGCUGACGAGUGGCGGACGGGUGAGUAAUGUCUGGGAAGCUGCCUGAUGGAGGGGGAUAACUACUGGAAACGGUAGCUAAUACCGCAUAAUGUCGCAAGACCAAAGAGGGGGACCUUCGGGCCUCUUGCCAUCGGAUGUGCCCAGAUGGGAUUAGCUUGUUGGUGGGGUAACGGCUCACCAAGGCGACGAUCCCUAGCUGGUCUGAGAGGAUGACCAGCCACACUGGAACUGAGACACGGUCCAGACUCCUACGGGAGGCAGCAGUGGGGAAUAUUGCACAAUGGGCGCAAGCCUGAUGCAGCCAUGCCGCGUGUAUGGAGAAGGCCUUCGGGUUGUAAAGUACUUUCAGCGGGGAGGAAGGGAGUAAAGUUAAUACCUUUGCUCAUUGACGUUACCCGCAGAAGAAGCACCGGCUAACUCCGUGCCAGCAGCCGCGGUAAUACGGAGGGUGCAAGCGUUAAUCGGAAUUACUGGGCGUAAAGCGCACGCAGGCGGUUUGUUAAGUCAGAUGUGAAAUCCCCGGGCUCAACCUGGGAACUGCAUCUGAUACUGGCAAGCUUGAGUCUCGUAGAGGGGGGUAGAAUUCCAGGUGUAGCGGUGAAAUGCGUAGAGAUCUGGAGGAAUACCGGUGGCGAAGGCGGCCCCCUGGACGAAGACUGACGCUCAGGUGCGAAAGCGUGGGGAGCAAACAGGAUUAGAUACCCUGGUAGUCCACGCCGUAAACGAUGUCGACUUGGAGGUUGUGCCCUUGAGGCGUGGCUUCCGGAGCUAACGCGUUAAGUCGACCGCCUGGGGAGUACGGCCGCAAGGUUAAAACUCAAAUGAAUUGACGGGGGCCCGCACAAGCGGUGGAGCAUGUGGUUUAAUUCGAUGCAACGCGAAGAACCUUACCUGGUCUUGACAUCCACGGAAGUUUUCAGAGAUGAGAAUGUGCCUUCGGGAACCGUGAGACAGGUGCUGCAUGGCUGUCGUCAGCUCGUGUUGUGAAAUGUUGGGUUAAGUCCCGCAACGAGCGCAACCCUUAUCCUUUGUUGCCAGCGGUCCGGCCGGGAACUCAAAGGAGACUGCCAGUGAUAAACUGGAGGAAGGUGGGGAUGACGUCAAGUCAUCAUGGCCCUUACGACCAGGGCUACACACGUGCUACAAUGGCGCAUACAAAGAGAAGCGACCUCGCGAGAGCAAGCGGACCUCAUAAAGUGCGUCGUAGUCCGGAUUGGAGUCUGCAACUCGACUCCAUGAAGUCGGAAUCGCUAGUAAUCGUGGAUCAGAAUGCCACGGUGAAUACGUUCCCGGGCCUUGUACACACCGCCCGUCACACCAUGGGAGUGGGUUGCAAAAGAAGUAGGUAGCUUAACCUUCGGGAGGGCGCUUACCACUUUGUGAUUCAUGACGGGGGUGAAGUCGUAACAAGGUA
RNAcentral lists this ribosomal RNA (1500 nucleotides) under metagenome. RNAcentral describes it as "bacterial SSU rRNA". It matches the Rfam family "Bacterial small subunit ribosomal RNA". The record is from RNAcentral.